This 301-nucleotide ribosomal RNA is filed under the name uncultured bacterium. RNAcentral describes it as "partial 16S ribosomal RNA". It matches the Rfam family "Bacterial small subunit ribosomal RNA", at positions 509 to 807 of the family's 1533-position model. The record is from RNAcentral.
CAGCAGCCACGGUAAUACGAAGGGUGCAAGCGUUAAUCGGAAUUACUGGGCGUAAAGCGUGCGUAGGCGGUUUGUUAAGUCUGUUGUGAAAUCCCCGGGCUCAACCUGGGAAUGGCAAUGGAUACUGGCAAGCUAGAGUGUGUCAGAGGAUGGUGGAAUUCCCGGUGUAGCGGUGAAAUGCGUAGAGAUCGGGAGGAACAUCAGUGGCGAAGGCGGCCAUCUGGGACAACACUGACGCUGAGGCACGAAAGCGUGGGGAGCAGACAGGAUUAGAUACCCCAGUAGUCCCUGUCUCUUAUAC